This 460-nucleotide ribosomal RNA is filed under the name uncultured bacterium. Its description in RNAcentral is "partial 16S ribosomal RNA". It matches the Rfam family "Bacterial small subunit ribosomal RNA", at positions 338 to 795 of the family's 1533-position model. The record is from RNAcentral.
CCUACGGGAGGCAGCAGUGAGGAAUAUUGGUCAAUGGGCGCGAGCCUGAACCAGCCAAGUCGCGUGAAGGAUGACGGCUCUAUGGGUUGUAAACUUCUUUUAUAAGGGAAUAAAGUGAGGAACGUGUUCCUUUUUGUAUGUACUUUAUGAAUAAGCAUCGGCUAACUCCGUGCCAGCAGCCGCGGUAAUACGGAGGAUGCGAGCGUUAUCCGGAUUUAUUGGGUUUAAAGGGUGCGUAGAUGGUUUAUUAAGUCAGUUGUGAAAGUUUGUGGCUCAACCGUAAAAUUGCAGUUGAUACUGGUUGUCUUGAGUACAUUUGAGGUAGGCGGAAUGCGUGGUGUAGCGGUGAAAUGCUUAGAUAUCACGCAGAACUCCGAUUGCGAAGGCAGCUUACUAAACUACCACUGACAUUGAUGCACGAAAGUGUGGGGAUCAAACAGGAUUAGAUACCCGGGUAGUC